GGGAAGAUACUCAAGCGGUCAACGAGGACAGACUGUAAAUCUGUUGGUUUCUACCUUCGCAGGUUCGAAUCCUGCUCUUCCCAC
Molecule: transfer RNA, 84 nt
Filed under: Capnocytophaga catalasegens
Lineage: Bacteria; Pseudomonadati; Bacteroidota; Flavobacteriia; Flavobacteriales; Flavobacteriaceae
Description: tRNA-Tyr
Rfam family: tRNA
About the family: Transfer RNA (tRNA) molecules are approximately 80 nucleotides in length. Their secondary structure includes four short double-helical elements and three loops (D, anti-codon, and T loops). Further hydrogen bonds mediate the characteristic L-shaped molecular structure. tRNAs have two regions of fundamental functional importance: the anti-codon, which is responsible for specific mRNA codon recognition, and the 3' end, to which the tRNAs corresponding amino acid is attached (by aminoacyl-tRNA synthetases). tRNAs cope with the degeneracy of the genetic code in two manners: having more than one tRNA (with a specific anti-codon) for a particular amino acid; and 'wobble' base-pairing, i.e. permitting non-standard base-pairing at the 3rd anti-codon position.
Source: RNAcentral